Molecule: ribosomal RNA, 648 nt
Filed under: Maudiozyma barnettii
Lineage: Eukaryota; Fungi; Ascomycota; Saccharomycetes; Saccharomycetales; Saccharomycetaceae
Description: eukaryotic LSU rRNA
Rfam family: Eukaryotic large subunit ribosomal RNA (bases 80-648)
Source: RNAcentral
CCGGCACGUUGUCUUCUGGCUAACGGGAAGUGCUUUUAGCAUUGCUACAAGGACCCUGGCAAACAGUACUCUUUAAGUUUGACCUCAAAUCAGGUAGGAAUACCCGCUGAACUUAAGCAUAUCAAUAAGCGGAGGAAAAGAAACCAACCGGGAUUGCCUCAGUAACGGCGAGUGAAGCGGCAAAAGCUCAAAUUUGAAAUCUGGUACCUUCGGUGCCCGAGUUGUAAUUUGUAGAGGGCGACUUUGGGGCGGCUCCUUGUCUAUGUUCCUUGGAACAGGACGUCAUAGAGGGUGAGAAUCCCGUGUGGCGAGGAGUGCGGUUCCGUGUAAAGCGCUCUCGAAGAGUCGAGUUGUUUGGGAAUGCAGCUCUAAGUGGGUGGUAAAUUCCAUCUAAAGCUAAAUAUUGGCGAGAGACCGAUAGCGAACAAGUACAGUGAUGGAAAGAUGAAAAGAACUUUGAAAAGAGAGUGAAAAAGUACGUGAAAUUGUUGAAAGGGAAGGGCAUUUGAUCAGACAUGGUGUUUUGCGCCCCUCGCUCCUUGUGGGUGGGGGACUCUCGCAGCUCACUGGGCCAGCAUCAGUUUUGGCGGUCGGACAAAACCAGGGGAACGUAGCUUGCUUCGGGAAGUGUUAUAGCCCUUGGGAAUA